GACGAACGCUGGCGGCGUGCUUAACACAUGCAAGUCGAGCGGAAAGGCCCUUCGGGGUACUCGAGCGGCGAACGGGUGAGUAACACGUGAGUAACCUGCCCCUGACUCUGGGAUAAGCCUGGGAAACUGGGUCUAAUACCGGAUAUGACACCUUCCCGCAUGGGGUGGGUGUGGAAAGUUUUUUCGGGUGGGGAUGGGCUCGCGGCCUAUCAGCUUGUUGGUGGGGUAGUGGCCUACCAAGGCGACGACGGGUAGCCGGCCUGAGAGGGCGACCGGCCACACUGGGACUGAGACACGGCCCAGACUCCUACGGGAGGCAGCAGUGGGGAAUAUUGCGCAAUGGGCGGAAGCCUGACGCAGCGACGCCGCGUGGGGGAUGACGGCCUUCGGGUUGUAAACCUCUUUCAGCAGGGACGAAGUUGACGUGUACCUGUAGAAGAAGCGCCGGCUAACUACGUGCCAGCAGCCGCAGUAA
This 475-nucleotide ribosomal RNA is filed under the name uncultured bacterium. RNAcentral's name for it is "partial 16S ribosomal RNA". It matches the Rfam family "Bacterial small subunit ribosomal RNA", at positions 28 to 523 of the family's 1533-position model. The record is from RNAcentral.